UUUAAUCUAAUCUGAUAAUUUGCUCUGUUUUUAUCUAUCUAAUCGUUUAUUUUAUCUCUCUUAUCUAUCUAUCCUUCUUAAACAACAAGCGCGUCUGGCCAAAAAAGGACCUGGCAGCAAGUACAAGAACAUUUUGCAGGCUGCAUUGAAAAAAAAGGCUCAUAUAUCUGGCACGGGGGGUGGCCCUCCAACCCAAGACUUGACCACAGCAGAGGAGCUGGCCCUGGAGUUGAAUAAAGGCCCAGCAAGAGAGACUGGCCUCUUCAUACAAGGUACAUUACUGCCGUACUACUGCACAUGGAAAACAAUCAAGUAUUUAGAUUUUGUUAUGUGGACUGUCUGACUUUGCCUUACCUUGCGGUGUCUGGUAACACACUUACACUUCUGGAGCCACCAGACUAUGAUCCGCUGGUGACUUCUCUUUAUUAAAAUCAUAGGCUUGGCACGUCCUGUCAAAACUAUCAAUACAAGUUCUAUUGAAUAUGGCAGAGGGAAGGCACAUCUGACGAUGAUGAGAUCGUGUCACUGGACUCCAGAAGGCUUGAGAAAGCAACUCAUACAGGUUUGGAUAGAACUU
Long non-coding RNA from Cyprinus carpio (common carp), 577 nucleotides. RefSeq lists it as uncharacterized. Lineage: Eukaryota; Metazoa; Chordata; Actinopteri; Cypriniformes; Cyprinidae. The record is from RefSeq and is a predicted model, not a curated record. The transcript is spliced from 3 exons.